AAAAAAAAAAAAAAAAAAAUGAUAUUAAAAAUCGUGCCAUUAUAUAGCUAUAAUUUUUACUGUACUUUGUUAAUUAUUAAAGAAUUAAAUUAUACAAACAAAGAACAUGAACUAAAAAAUAUUUUACCACAUAUAAAUAACAACAUAGAGACAGAAAAUAAUGUUAUGACACAUUGUGAAAAGGAUUAUAAUAACGAUGUUGUUAAUCAUAUAAAAUCAUAUAACUAUGAUUACUUAAAUAAUAAAAAAGAUUUUUAUCCAGAUAAAAGUAAUGAAAAUAUUUAUAUUCUUAUAAACUGCGGAUGGGAUGAAAAUUUUUGUCAAGAGGAUAUCCAAAACGUGUUAAGGGUAUGCGAAUAUAUAGACAUUUUAAUAAUCACAAAUUAUAAUUUAAAGUACGUUGGUGCUUUGCCUUUAGUUUAUACAAAUUUGCAAAAAGCGAAUAAAAAAGUAACAAUAAUAUGUCAUGAAUAUGUAAAAUAUUAUAGUAAAUAUAUUUUAUUAAGUUAUUAUAAAUGUUUAAAUAAUUGUGAAUUUUUUAAAAACUUUGUUGCAAAUGAAUAUAAUAAAUUAAUAAAAGAUUUAUAUAACGACAUAACAAUAUUAGAAUAUAGAGAGCAUUAUAUAUUCAAAAAAAUAAUUAAUAAAAAAAAUGAUAUUACAUGUAUACUUCCAUUAUAUUUAAUAAACAACGGAGAUGAUAUAGGUUCCUCAGGGAUUAUAUUCAAAUUGUUCAAUCACAAAAUUCUUUAUUCAAUUAAUUUUAAUGUUUCUGAUUAUUCAUUUAUUGAAAAAUCACAUGUAUUUAAACAAACAGAUAUUUUUACUUUUAUUAGUAACUUUUAUUAUACAAAUAAAAAUUACACAAAAUUUGCUGAUUUAAAAGAAAUUUUAAAAAUUAUUAAUAAAACUAUUAAUAAAAUGGGUUCCGUCAUUUUGCCUGUAGACAUUGACAACACAUUCCUGGACCUAUUGUUUCAUGUCAAUGCAUUAUUGGAAGUAUGCGCACAAAGAUACUCACUUUUGUUUUUAUGUGAUUAUUCGAUAAACUUCAUAAGGUUGUUAUGCACUUCUCUAAGUUACAUGAACGUUAAUAUAAGGAACAAUUUCCACAGAAACAGAAUAAAUUUAUUUAAAAUUAAGAAUUUGAUUUGUUUAAAAAAUUAUAAUGAUUUUAAAAAAUAUGAAGAGGGAUAUUACAUUUUAUUUUCUUUUCCUUCUUCAUUAAACAAUGAAUCAAUUAAAAAAAUUUUAUCAAAAUUUUUAACAAAAAAAAUAAUGUUGUUAUAUUUACCAAAAAAAUUAAUGAAAAAUCAACAAGUUUUGCUAGCCAAGUUUAUAAUAAUUUUUAUACAAAUAAGGAAAAACAGAAGAGUGAAAAUUUUAAUUUUUCUUAUAUACAAAAUGUAAAACUAAAUAAAAAGAAGUUAUAUGAAAUUUAUUUAAAAAAU
Molecule: long non-coding RNA, 1451 nt
Filed under: Piliocolobus tephrosceles (Ugandan red Colobus)
Lineage: Eukaryota; Metazoa; Chordata; Mammalia; Primates; Cercopithecidae
Description: lncRNA (ENSPTEG00000005928.1)
Source: RNAcentral